AAGGUAAGCCGGAUAAUCGCAUGCUUUAGCAUGAGGAAAGUCCGGGCUUCACAGAGCAGGAUGCCAGAUAACGUCUGGCGUGGGUAACCAUAGGGAAAGUGCAACAGAAAAUAUUCCGCCGAAACAGUAAGGCUGUGGUAAGGUUGAAAUGGCGAGGUAAGAGCUCACCGGCAAUAUAGUAAUAUAUUGGCCUUGUAAACCCCAUCUGAAGCAAGAUCAAAAUGGGCAGUAAGAAUAGUUGCUCGCUAUUCGCCCGGUGUGGUGGAUCGCAUGAACACAUCAGCGAUGGUGUGUCUAGAUAGAUGAUUAUCAAAUACAGAACCCGGCUUAUGGCUUGCCUUUUAU
Eubacterium saphenum ATCC 49989 is the source of this 345-nucleotide non-coding RNA. It matches the Rfam family "Bacterial RNase P class A". From Rfam's summary of the family: Ribonuclease P (RNase P) is a ubiquitous endoribonuclease, found in archaea, bacteria and eukarya as well as chloroplasts and mitochondria. Its best characterised activity is the generation of mature 5'-ends of tRNAs by cleaving the 5'-leader elements of precursor-tRNAs. Lineage: Bacteria; Bacillati; Bacillota; Clostridia; Peptostreptococcales; Anaerovoracaceae. The record is from Rfam.